CCCUUAGAUGUUCUGGGCCGCACGCGCGCUACACUGAUGCAUUCAACGAGUCUAAAACCUGCUCUGAUAGGGGUGGGUAAUCUUUUGAAUGUGCAUCGUGAUUGGGAUAGAUGAUUGCAAUUUUUCAUCUUCAACGAGCAAUGCCUAGUAAACGCAAGUCAUCAGCUUGCAUUGAUUACGUCCCUGCCCUUUGUACACACCGCCCGUCGCUCCUACCGAUUGAAUGAUCCGAUGAAUAUCAUGGAUUGAGGAUGCAAGUAGGUUAGCCUAUCUUCAUCUUCGAGAAGUGAAGUAAAUCUUAUCAUUUAGAGGAAGGAGAAGUCGUAACA
RNAcentral lists this ribosomal RNA (329 nucleotides) under uncultured eukaryote. Its description in RNAcentral is "partial 18S ribosomal RNA". It matches the Rfam family "Eukaryotic small subunit ribosomal RNA", at positions 1470 to 1796 of the family's 1831-position model. The record is from RNAcentral.